RNAcentral lists this long non-coding RNA (536 nucleotides) under Homo sapiens (human). RNAcentral's name for it is "non-protein coding lnc-AGPAT2-1:6". The record is from RNAcentral. Lineage: Eukaryota; Metazoa; Chordata; Mammalia; Primates; Hominidae.
AGCUUUGCCCUAUCCCAUAGCCUGGAGCCACCACAGGAGGGGCACUCCACUCUCUUGGGCUCCUGGAGCCUCAGAGGCAGAGCCAGCCGGGAGUGCAGGAGGGAGAACUUUCCUGUGGACGUCCUGUGUUCUCCAGACGCAGAGAACCCUCAUCAACCGAGGGGGAGGUCACUUCCGAAUCCACAGAUGGCGUGUGAGUGCAUGGCGAGCGCCUCCAGGACACACUUACUGUUCCCUUGCUCUGGCCAGACGCCAGCCGGACCCUGUGUGUGCGCGCCGUGCUGCUCUUUGCAGCUGCCUGCAAGGGGUUCCUGCGAAGACCAGCACCUUGGGGAAGAGCCUGCGGCUGAACUUGAACUCGCAGCUACCUGAGUCAGACCUGUGCUUUUUCACCUCUACGGAAGAUGUCAGAGCGUUUCCCUAGCAAUGUUUUAGAAGUUACUUCUGUCUGGAAAAAAAUGGAAAAAAUGGCAAAUUAUGUUAUGUAUAAUUUGAUAAUUUUAAAGAAUUAAUGAUGUAAUUAUUACUCAAACCCA